This 6806-nucleotide long non-coding RNA is filed under the name Malus domestica (apple). Its description in RNAcentral is "long non-coding RNA (MDOM_LNC004950)". The record is from RNAcentral. Lineage: Eukaryota; Viridiplantae; Streptophyta; Magnoliopsida; Rosales; Rosaceae.
GAUAGCCUCGGUGGUGUGAGGACUCUCUCAAGGCUUCUAGCCUUUGUUUUCAGCUCUAGCCCUUAGAAAUGAGGACUUAAGACCUUUUUUAGAAUGAGGGGGAGUCCCCUUUUAUAGAAUAAGGGGCUCCUCCUCUUUUACAUUUGUCGUGGGCUUAAUGUGUGAGGCCCAAAUACGAAGCCCAAGGCCCAAAUACGAGGCCCAAAUAUAUGGUACCAACAGGAGUCCCCCAAGUCUUCAGUCAAGAGAGUCUUUUGGCUGGAGACUUCAAAUUCAAUCCAUGUACGGGCCGAAGUGGCUAGAUGUCUUGAACCAGUACUCAACCUAAGGCAAUGCUCAACAUAAAGCAAUACUCGGCUAAAGGUAUCACAAAAUUACGAGACUACUCGGCUGGAGGCGAUGCUCGUUGCGAGGCUGUUCGGCUAAAGGCUAUGCUCGCGGCGAGGCAUUUGUUCGGCUGGAGGCGAUGCUCAUUACGAGGCGGCUCGGCUAGAGGCUAUGCUCGCUGCGAGGCGGCUCGGCUCGUGGUAUUCCUUAUUGCAAGUAUCUACUUUAUGUCGACAUGCACUCAGUAUGAGUUGAUUCUUGACAUGACUCGGGUCUGCUUGUCGGGUUCACAUAUUGGGUCUAUAUGUCAGAUCUGCGAAUCAGGUCCGCAAGUCGGGUCUUUGAAUUGGGGCCAUACGUAGGGGCAUCAAGUUGGGACCGGGCACAUAGGUGUCCCAAUAAGCGAAUGUCCGAGCAAGUGGGUGUCUGGUCAGGCAAGAGAUCAAUGUUGAUCAGUAGAGCUGGUUGCUCGAUAAUUCCUGACAAUAAAUGACAGCAUAAGUAUGAUUGUAUAAUGAAUAAAUCGAAUUGACACAAUUUGUCAAGGCAGAAUAUUGUACGAUGUGCCUACUACAAAUAAAUGAUUUAUUCAGUUGUGUGGUAAAUCACACGUUGCAUAAGUGAAAUAAUUAGCUGAAACACUGGGCAAUGAAUAAAUAUUUGCACAAAUAAAUGCUUAUAUAAAUAUGCGCGAUCCGACUAGGAUUAGUGAUAUAUAUAUAUAUAUAUAUAUAUAUAUAUAUAUAUAUAUAUAUAUAUACUUGUGAAAGGUUGUGUACCCAUAAUUAUGCCACGUGACUAGCCAUUGUCUCAAGGUAAUAGCCUUUGAUGCAAUAGUAUAUAAUAUAUUGAUCAGUUCGGUGCAUGUGUUUAGCACAUGCAAUAGAUGGAGUUAUGAUCAUUUACAAUGAUUAAGUACUGACUUUCUGUCAGCACAGUACAUUUAAUAUGGUGUUACAUGGCAUAUAAGUGAUGCAUUUGUAUUGCACUAUGCAUACUGAUAUUGGUAUGUGCAUAGUAGACUUAAGUUUACAACAUCAUUAUUUAAUAAAAGCACAAGCACGCGGCAUAUGCGGUUGCAUUCUAGCAACAAGUAUAUAUAUAUAUAUAUAUAUACUGUUGUGAUGCCAACUAUCAUUAUAUACUAAUAAUGCUUUCUAGCAACAAGCACGGCAUAUCCUAAUAAUGCUUUUGUGAUGCCAACUAUCAUUAUAUAUAUAUAUAUAUAUAUAUAUUAAUUAUGCUUUUGUGAGUGCCGAUUAUAAUGAAACACUAUUGAUAAAGAAAGAAGAUGCCUUAUCUUUAUCCCCACAUUGGCGGUCGACAGGAAAAAGUGGAUGGAGACCUAACGUUUUUUGUUAUUGUCCAAGCCCUUUUGAUGAUGAUUAUCAUCCAUUGGCAUAUCCUGCUGUAACAAACUCAAUUGGAGUGGAGCAAAGUGGUGGGGCCCAAAUAAGGCUCAGGGUUCCACUAAUAGUUAGGGCAGGAUGUGGUACAGCCUUUUCGAUUGUUUCUCCUUCCCGUCCAACUCUGUGAGUGAUUAACUCGAACGAGUGUUUCUCCGGCCUGCAAAGCCUUUUCGAUUUCGACAUCACUCCGAGCAGCAUCCUCAAUGUUAAUAGGUAAAACAGCAUCCUAAAUGUUAAUGGGCAUUUGCCCAUGGCUGAUCGUUGGUGCUGAUUGCUGCUCUGUGAGUAGGAGAAUGAGCAUUGGGAUUCAGAUUCGACGACAUCGUCGUGGUCCUGGAAAUGACAUCCAUCUUCGGUCUGGUGAUUGCCUGAUAUUGUAAAUCUUGAAACGACGUCGCAACCAAGAAAAAGAGUGAGAACGCCUGGAUAUUGGCUGCUGACUCGGGCUUGGUUUCUCUGCUCUGAAGUUUCCCCACUGACCCAACCCCGUUUGGCCCAUAUCUCCGACCCGUUGUCCAGUUGGUAAACCAAGUGGACAAAUGCCCAGCGACCUUUCUCCUUGUCGUCAAAGGCACAGAUUAGGUCCUUCACCAUGGGUUAGACAGAGAGGAGGAAGACGGCGACGAACUUGAACUCAAUGACUCUAUGAGCAAUGGCGAGCCAAGUGACCGGACCCGGCCGACGAGGGCGUCGAGGACGCUCCACUUACCGCUGUUCUGACUUCCCAUGAUCGCCACUUGAGGCAGCAAAAUAUGCGGCUUGUUGCUGACCACCGGCGCGAGAAUAUCCUGGACCCUGUUGAUCAUCGAAAUUAACAACGAGCCGAUCAUCACUGAAGGUCUCGGACUGGUUGCCGAUGAGUCGACUUCUUUAGCUUCUUCUCCAAUGGUGCAGUUUUAGAGAGAGAAAACUUACACUCUGAUUACCAAGAGUGUGGUAGAGAGAUAAAGUAGUGUUACAGAGAGUAAGGUAGAGAGAGGCAAACGUGGGUUUUUUUGUGAAUGUGGGUUUUUGGGUUUUUUUUGAUUUUGCAGAUUCAAGGUGGGGAUUGUGGUGAGGUUUCACGGUGGUGAGAUGAAAAAAUGAAAGAUAACCGACAUAGCUUUUUGUGUCGCUUCUCACAGACGGCGCCAAAUGUUGAUGCACAAAACUGGAAGUCUUGGUACAACAUAAAUUCGACCGUGAAUCUGCAUGAAAUGUAAAUGACACAAGAUGUAUCGUGCUUCACCCCAAGGUUUAGGCUACGUCCACAUUGAUUGUAUUAUAUUUGUCUGAGAAGUGAGGGAGAGAGAGAGCUCUGAGAGUGAGAGCGUUGAGAGGGUGAGAGAGGCUUCAGAAAUGGCCUCCGAAAUGAUCCCUCUAAUUGUGAGGGUGAGGGGUCCUUUUAUAGAAUAAGGACUCCUCAAUUAUUACAUAUUUGCCCCUUCCUUUAUCACAUAAUUACAUUUAUGUCCCUCGAGUAUUUGUACGAGAUCUAAAUACGAGGCCCUAAAUAUGGUAUAAACAGUAGUCCUCCAAGUCUUCAGUCAAGAGAGUCUUUUGGCUGGAGACUUGAAAUUCAGUCCAUGUGUGGGCCGAAGUAACUAGACGUUGUCUUGAACUGAUGCCCGAUAUGAGGCAGUGCUCAAAGUGAAAUGAUGCUCAUCCAGAAGUAGCACACGCUGCUCGGCUGCUCGGCUCGUGGCUUAUGUUGCCUUGGUUGGCUCAGUUUGCUGCGUUUGAAGGUGAGGGAGUCCCUUUUAUAAAAUAAGGGCUUGCUCCUCAAUAAAUGAAUGAUGGGCUAAAGUUGAUGCUCUCUAAUGAUGGUGAGGGAGUCCCUUUUAUAGAAUAAGGGCUCGUUCCUCAAUACAUAAAUGAUGGGCUAGAGUUGAUGCUCGCGGCGAGUCGGUUGCUCAGUAGGCGGCGAUGCCCUCUAAUGGUGGUGAGGGAGUCCCUUUUAUAAAAUAAGGGCUCGUUCCUCAGUACAUGAAUAAUGGGUGCUCUCUAAUGAAAGUGAGGAAGUCCCUUUUAUAGAAUAAGAGCUCGCUCCUCAAUACAUAAGUAAUGGGCUAAGUCCCCCAAGUAUUUUUCAUGAGACCCAAUUGAGGCCCAAUAUAUGGUACAUAAUGUAGUCCCUCAAGUCUUCGGUCAAUAGAGUCUGUUGGCUGGAGACUUCAAAUUGAAUCCAUGUAUGGGCCGAAGUGGCGGUUGUUCGGAAGCGGUAUUUGUAUACCCUGCACUGAAGCUUUGUAGGUGAAGCUUUGCAAGUGAAGCUUUGCAAGUGAAGCAUUGAAGUUAGAGCUCUGUAAAUGAAUCUUUUGAAGCUGUUUGACAUAAGUGAUGCUCAUGAAUGUUUAUGUUGAUUGACAUGAGUGAUGCUCAUGUAUGUUAUCAUAAGUGAUGCUCAUGAAUGUUAAUGUAUGAUUGUCAUGAGUGAUGCUCAUAAAUGUUUAUGUAUGAAUGACAUGAGUAAUGCUCAUGUAUGAUUUGAAGUACUGGGCGUACUUUUGAUCACCUGGUUGGUGGUAUGAAUAGCUAGUUGCCAAAUGAUAUUAGAGUACGGGUUGUACAUUUCAUCACCUGGUUGGUGGCAUGAAUGGCUAGUUACCAAAUGAUAUUAGAGUACGGGUUGUACUUUUCAUCACCUGGUUGGUGGUAAUAGCGACAGGUUGCCGAAUAUUUUUGGAGUACUAGGCGUACUUUUAGUCAUCUGGUUGGUGAUAAUAGCGGCGGGUUGCCGAAUAAUUUUGGAAGUACUGGGCGUACUUUUGAUCACUUGAUUGGAGCUUUUUUGGGUUUAUGGGCCUCCGCCCUCCACAACAUGCCAGCCCAUUAAUUAUGGGCUUUUCUGUUUUUUUUUUUUUUUUUUUUUUUUUUUUACCCUCUGAUGGGUUUAUACAUAUUAUCCUCUGAUGAGGUUUAUACAGAUGUUUCCGAAAGAUAAGGAAAAUUACAUCAUUCAAAAAAAUGAGGAAAGUAAAACACAUCAUUCUGGUGGGGUGUUUAUUCCUUGCUUUUGCAGUGUUUUUCUGCUGCAGUGUCUCUUCAUCUGGCAGACAUAAGGAAUUAUAAUACUAAGAAGAUCUUUUGCUUUUCUUUUUUUCCUUUUCAGCUUUUCCUUUUGCUUUUGUUUCUGUUUCCCACUGCUUUUCUCUUUUCCCUUUUCAUUUCUGCUUUUGAUAUGAAUGUUGACGACAUGAUUAAUGGCACAACUCUUUGGACAGCCUCUUCGACCCUACCCACUUGCUUUUCUUGGUACCUCCACUGCGUAUUGCAGGAAGAUUGUUUUCUGAAAUCAGACGGAACAAGGACUUUGCCACGUUGGUAUGUCGGUGAUCAGCAGCCGUUUGUCCACCAUGACUGCUUAUGCUCAAAGACCGGAGUGUUGACCAGAGCUUGGACCGGCAAGUGUCUUUGCCGAGAGUGUUGACCAAAGUCGUGAAUUAGAAAGCAGACGCAUUGUUACCCUUGAUCUUAAACCAAGCCUCAGCAGCACACUGCUUGUGGGCAGCAGCCAAAUCAGCCUUAUAAGAACAUCCUAGCUCAAUAGGAAUCCCAGAUUCAUGAUUCGUUGCAUCCAAGCUCAGGUGAUAAAUCUUGCAGUCCCUCACCACUUUCGCCACGUUAAUCUUCACCUCCUCCAGAUUUACCUCCGCCGAACUCUCCGACGCAGAUGCUUCCCUCUCCACAAGAGGCGCUACGGCGUCCUGCUUCUCUCUCCACUACAUCAACAACCACAUGGGCUUUGUCUACAGCUGCCAUUUGUAAAAAACCCAAAGAGAGAAUCUUCAUGUAAUGGCUCUAUGCGGCCAAGAUCAUUAAUGCCCACAAAGGUUGAAGAAGCUCUCAACCCAGCAGGAAGUGGGUUUUUUAGACUUUCAACAACUGGGUUCUGUAGCAGUAGGUCAUCCCUCUCUCUCAUCUUUCUCACGGUGAAGGUUAUGAGCUUCGUAGAAAACGUAGAAAAUGGCAGAGCUGUUGGUGGAGUUGACCGGGGGGUAACCUGAUCUGGUGGGGUGGGCUUCUAGAGGGAAGAGAGGGAAGGACGAUGCGGGAGUCGGGUCGAGCCAAGGUGCUCCUGGAGUAGGCGGCGAUGAGGGAGUCGGGUCGGGCCAAGGUGCUCCGGUCCACGAGUUCGUACCAGAGGCGGCACUGCGAGAAACCAUGACGAGAGAUGGACGCGUGGAAGACCGGCGUGGCGAUGGGAGGCUGCGACUGGGCGCCGACGGUCGUUUGAGAGUUGAAGAUCGGGAGUGUCGGUGGGGCAUCCAUUGUUGGCUGUGAGGGGCAUGACGAUCAAUGAGUCCCUUGAAGGCACAAACUUCACUCUCCCUCUGUACUAUCCUAUAGAAGUUGUUUGAUGAUGCCAUCUCAACAGCCUUCUAUAGUUUGAUACAAAUCAAGCUGCUUUUGUCUCUGUCGUUUUUUAUUUUUAUUUUUUCAACCCAGAGAGAUGGGCUUUUCUGGUUUCCUGGGUUUUUUUUUUCUGGGAAAGCUUUGGGUUGUUGAGUUUUUGCAGAUUCAAGGUGGGGAUUGUGGUGAGGUUUCACGGUGGUGAGAUGAAAAAAUGAAAGAUAACCGACAUAGCUUUUCGUGUCGAUUCCCACAGACGGCGCCAAAUGUUGAUGCACAAAACCGGGGCAGUCUUGGAACAACGUAAAUCCGACCGUGAAUCUGCACAAACGCUCAAGAACACGAAGAACACAAAGAACACAAGGAUUUUAUCGUGGUUCACCCCAAUGUUUGGGCUACGUCCACACUGUAGUUGAUUCUGUUUCUCUGUAAUUGUAUGGAUACAAGUGUUUGAGGGGAAGUCCCCCAGAGAGAGAAGAGAAGGGAGAUGAGAGCCUCGGUGGUGUGAGGACUCUCUCAAGGCUUCUAGCCUUUGUUUUCAGCUCUAGCCCCUAGAAAUGAGGACUUAAGACCUUUUUUAGAAUGAGGGGGAGUCCCCUUUUAUAGAAUAAGGGGCUCCUCCUCUUUUACAUUUGUCGUGGGCUUAAUGUGUGAGGCCCAAAUACGAAGCCCAAGGCCCAAAUACGAGGCCCAAAUAUAUGGUACCAACAAGCUGGAUGGAUGAAGUGGAAGAUUGCA